CAGAGGGUGCAAGCGUUAAUCGGAUUUACUGGGCGUAAAGCGUGCGUAGGCGGCUCGCUAAGUCGGUUGUGAAAUCCCUGGGCUUAACCUGGGAACUGCAGUCGAUACUGGCGGGCUAGAGUACGGUAGAGGGUGGCGGAACUCCGGGUGUAGCGGUGAAAUGCGUAGAUAUCCGGAAGAACACCGAUGGCGAAGGCAACCACCUGGGCCUGUACUGACGCUGAGGUACGAAAGCGUGGGGAGCAAACAGGAUUAGAUACCCUGGUAGUCCACGCUGUAAACGAUGAGAACUUGACGUCGGUUCGCCUAGCGAAUCGGUGUCGUAGCUAACGCGCUAAGUUCUCCGCCUGGGGAGUACGGCCGCAAGGUUG
Molecule: ribosomal RNA, 371 nt
Filed under: uncultured organism
Description: bacterial SSU rRNA
Rfam family: Bacterial small subunit ribosomal RNA
Source: RNAcentral